AGGGCAAAUCGAUUUCCAAGAGACAACCCUGACAGCUCCGCCUGGUCCUUUCCCCAAACUGUAGGUCCACACGACCUACUACACCACACGGAAAUCCUGGAGCACGGCCAACCGUCGAUCAGGACGGAGUAACCUCUGCUGCUCAAGGUCCGGUUCUUCUUGGACGCCACACGACAGGAGGUUGUGCAUAUUGGAGCAGUAUGCCAUCCCAAUCGCUUGGUAUGUUGUUUCCACCGACCACAAGUGAGGCAAAGUCCUCCUAUUAUCUCUACAUUGGCCACGAUUUCUGUGAUUGAAAUACAGGGUAUUGAUUGAAUUGGUAGUAUUUGCAUGGUCCAGAAACUGACUAUUGGACCAUGUCUUUCUUAAUCGAGGCAAUUGGCCAUUUUUGCUUAUUUAACAAUUUGAAUAUUUCAUCUUGCUCUCUGAAUUCCUUCAGUAUGCCAUUCUUUUCUUUCAAUGUCUUCUAAUUGUUGACAAAUUCUUGGCCAAUACAUUUCAAAAUUAGUAGGUCAAGCGGUAGUAUAUUCUUUACAGAGAACCUUGGUUCAUUUCCUUGGUCCAGUCGUGUUGUGCUUGCUUAGCUAAUCACAGUUCCUCGCUAGGCCAUAUAAUUUGCAUGCAGGGCAUUUGCACCUGCACAAUGUUCAGGCUUUAGAGAAUAUGUAUGUAGGUCUUCGAGAUCUGUUUUUGUUUAGUUCUCAAUUGAUAAGAUUUAUUGAGGUACUACAUCAUUUUCAAGUAAGGAUGAUGAAGUGGCACAUCAAUACAUAUUAAGUCCAUCCAGCAUCUGAAAACUAAACAGUUUGCGUAUUCACCUAUUCUACUUCGUGUGGAUAAAUGGGCUAACAACUCUUUUCUUUCAAGCCUGUAGUUAAAAAAAAAUGAUUAUUUGUUCAAAAGAAAAAUGACAUAAUUACUUUGGUCUGGCAAUUAGUAAGUGAACUACUGGUUUAGUACUUUUUGCACAAUAACUGAAGGAGAUUAUUAAUGAUACACAUCACUAUUCUUUUAGCAUACUGUACCAUUGGAAGGGUCAAUCAAAUUACAUCACGUAUCUUAUAUGCUAUGUGAUGAUGUAAGAAUAGUGUGGAAAAUUUCAUGUUUAUGGCCAUUGCUUUAGCAAAUAAAGGUGCGAAAUACAUAGAUUCUCUGAAAAAAUGCAUGUAUUCUGAAAUAGCUGAAAUCAGCUGCUGGCAUAAAUGUACUAUGUCUCAUCUCUUGAAGAACCAUGAAUGAUUAUUCUCACCUCCUACCGAAGAUCCAUAUGCACUGACAUUGUCUUUCUGCAAUCAAUUGGCAAUUGUGCCAUUGUUACUUAUUGGCCAGAAUAUGCAAAGACCUUUCAUGCGGUUGCUCUUCAUUAAUCCUCCUAUGAUGACAGCACUGUAAUACUGUUUGCAGGCAUGAGUGUUGCCCAGUUGUCAGGAGUGUCUGGUUUUGAUUACGCUGUUGCCCGGUUGGUAUUUGUCGCCUGCUGUUGCCUGAAGUUCUUCAACACAGUUUGAUAGUGCUAACAUUCUAUCAGGACUUCCCCGGUGGCGACGAGGAAGAGGUACAAGUUCAAGAGGAUGGCUGAAUAUAUAACUGAGAGGACGCAUUGUUGCCUAUUCAAUUUUUUGUCUUUGGGUGUAUUGGCGAUGAUGACAGUGUUGUGUUCAAUAAGUCAAGAAAGAGUUUGAUAGCAGAGUAGGUGUUUUUUUUUUUGCUGUGUACGAGUUAUGUGCGUUUUACAUGAGACUGGUUAGUGGCAUAUUCAUUGGAACAAGUAUAUAUGAA
Long non-coding RNA from Lolium rigidum, 1779 nucleotides. RefSeq lists it as uncharacterized. The transcript is spliced from 3 exons. The record is from RefSeq and is a predicted model, not a curated record. NCBI's taxonomy places the organism in Eukaryota, Viridiplantae, Streptophyta, Magnoliopsida, Poales, Poaceae.